RNAcentral lists this ribosomal RNA (430 nucleotides) under Fusobacteriota bacterium. RNAcentral's name for it is "Fusobacteria bacterium partial 16S ribosomal RNA". It matches the Rfam family "Bacterial small subunit ribosomal RNA", at positions 355 to 776 of the family's 1533-position model. Lineage: Bacteria; Fusobacteriati; Fusobacteriota. The record is from RNAcentral.
UAGGGAAUCUUCGGCAAUGGACGAAAGUCUGACCGAGCAACGCCGCGUGAGUGAAGAAGGUUUUCGGAUCGUAAAACUCUGUUGUUAGAGAAGAACAAGGAUGAGAGUAGAAUGUUCAUCCCUUGACGGUAUCUAACCAGAAAGCCACGGCUAACUACGUGCCAGCAGCCGCGGUACUACGUAGGUGGCAAGCGUUGUCCGGAUUUAUUGGGCGUAAAGCGAGCGCAGGCGGUUUCUUAAGUCUGAUGUGAAAGCCCCCGGCUCAACCGGGGAGGGUCAUUGGAAACUGGGAAACGUGAGUGCAGAAGAGGAGAGUGGAAUUCCAUGUGUAGCGGUGAAAUGCGUAGAUAUAUGGAGGAACACCAGUGGCGAAGGCGGCUCUCUGGUCUGUAACUGACGCUGAGGCUCGAAAGCGUGGGGAGCAAACAGG